Molecule: ribosomal RNA, 478 nt
Filed under: uncultured bacterium
Lineage: Bacteria
Description: partial 16S ribosomal RNA
Rfam family: Bacterial small subunit ribosomal RNA
Source: RNAcentral
GAUGAACGCUGACAGAAUGCUUAACACAUGCAAGUCUACUUGAUUCUACUUCGGUAGUUGAUGGUGGCGGACGGGUGAGUAACGCGUAAAGAAUCUGCCCUUUAGUUUGGGAUAACCUUUGGAAACGAAGGCUAAUACCGGAUAUUAUGGAGACGGCGCAUGACGACUCCAUGAAAGCUAUAUGCGCUAGAGGAGGACUUUGCGUCCCAUUAGUUAGUUGGUGGGGUAAUGGCUCACCAAGACCGCGAUGGGUAGCCGGCCUGAGAGGGUGAUCGGCCACAAGGGAACUGAGACACGGUCCUUACUCCUACGGGAGGCAGCAGUGGGGAAUAUUGGACAAUGGGCCACAAGCCUGAUCCAGCAAUUCUGUGUGCACGAUGAAGGUCUUCGGAUUGUAAAGUGCUUUCAGUAGGGAAGAAAAAAAUGACGGUACCUACAGAAGAAGCGACGGCUAAAUAUGUGCCAGCAGCCGCAGUAA